AAUCAGUCUACAUCGUGCUUUCAAAUUUCAAAAUUACUAUGAAAUGAUAUCUCGAUUUCAAGAUCUUUUUACUUAUUCGAUGAUUCUCAAUCUUUGUUUUUCUUCAUAGCUUGGAAAUCGCUAUGUGUGGUGAAGUUUCGGAGAAGUCGCCUAGGGCUUUUUGGGCUUUCCGGCGACUUGGUUAUCAGGCCUGGUCAUCAAUAUCAGGCAUCACAGAGCUUCAUAUUUUGUAUAAAAUCAAUAAUCCAGUAAACUGCAGCCAUGAUUCUAGGCGCUGGCAUUAAACUCAUCAGUUUUCAGUAUGUUUAUUCUUCAUUUCAAAAUUCAUAUCACCAUUACUGCUUUCAUUCAUAUGUAUUUGUAUCCUUCGAACGAUGGAGAAAUGUAAUUUCUGCCCUUCCAUAAUUUUCUUCUAUCAUUCUCUUUCAAGUCUACAAAAAUGCUUCAGCUAUGUUAAUGGAUAUCAAAUUCAAGUUCCAGUCUCUUUCCUGUCAGACUUUACUAUCGGAAGAAUGAAGGAUUCUCCAAUGGUAUAUCUUUUACAUAUCCUAGUUUAUAUACAACCUUUACUAUCUGCUUACACUUCUGAUCAUUGCUAUUUGUAAAAAUGAAGCUCAUGCCUUGGGAAUUGGUUUUGCUUUAAAAUCCAAUGUUACAUCUGACCAUUCAUCUACAUUGUCACACAAGAAAAGUUAAUUUUUUUUCCGGUUGCACUAUACCUUUCUUUAAUAAAAUCGGGCUUUAAAAAAAAUACAAUAAAAGUAGGCAAAAUGGAACCUGAUUUUUAAUACCUGUGUUUAUCAGUGUCUUAGCUACUUCAUGUGUUCCCCAUUUCUUCUUCACAGGCUGUUUUAAAUUUUAAAUUUGGUCGCAAUACUUAUGGGUAUCUUACGCCAUCAUAGAGAAGGCUGCGUUGUGUUGACCUGUCUGGUAUGAAUAUAAUGUA
Daucus carota subsp. sativus is the source of this 946-nucleotide long non-coding RNA. RefSeq lists it as uncharacterized. Lineage: Eukaryota; Viridiplantae; Streptophyta; Magnoliopsida; Apiales; Apiaceae. The transcript has 3 exons. The record is from RefSeq and is a predicted model, not a curated record.